AGAAUGGACUCAACACGUUGACUCAUCAACUCCAGCCUGAGGGACUCAUUACCUCAAAAUUCUCAUCUUCUGUCGUUUCUCUAUAUUGAACUGAAGAAGUCACUGGUUGGCUUCUUUAGUUCAGUGUGUCUUAUUUAUCACCACGUAGGUUGUAGCUCUGGGUCUUGUAUCACCUGCUGUGAUAUACUUUACUGUAGGUUGUAGCUCUGGGUCUUGUAUCACCUGCUGUGAUAUACUUUACUGUAGGUUGUAGCUCUGGGUCUUGUAUCACCUGCUGUGAUAUACUUUACUGUAGGUUGUAGCUCUGGGUCUUGUAUCACCUGCUGUGAUAUACUUUACUGCAGGUUGUAGCUCUGGGUCUUAUAUCACCUGCUGUGAUCUACUUUACUGUAGGUUGUAGCUCUGGGUCUUAGAUCUCCUGCUAGUGAUCUACUUUACUGUAGGUUGUAGCUCUGGGUCUUAGAUCUUAUUACAACCUAGGAAUCCAAAGGCCUGUUAUCCUGAGUGUAAAGGAAGCAAAAUAAACACAGCAGAAAA
Non-coding RNA from Cherax quadricarinatus, 537 nucleotides. The record is from RefSeq and is a predicted model, not a curated record. Lineage: Eukaryota; Metazoa; Arthropoda; Malacostraca; Decapoda; Parastacidae.